GAAAGGGAAACCAUUCGCGUUUCCCUCAUCAUCUCCGACCUCUCUCACUUCACUCGCUCUCUCAACCUCAACGCCACUCUCCACUUCUCUCAAACUCGCUCACUCUAAAUCAAAGAAACCUUCUCUCUCAUCUCUUCGCUCGUCUCACUCUCUCACAAUGCCUUUCUCUCGCUCACAUGCGUAUCACUCUCUCUCGUCCUCUCCACCUCUCUCAAUCGUUAAAACUCUCUCACUCGAGCUCUCAAACUCAAUCAAUCCUUCCCUAUCAAAUGCUCAAAGGAACCUAAACGAAAAAAAACUCACCCUCGGUGGCGGUAACGACGAGCUCCGGGUUUCGAAAGUGUAAUUGGUGUUCAAAGGAGAAAGCUUUCAGAAGCGCUUUUGGAUGCUCAGAAGUGCUUUGUCUUGUUUGAUGCUAUCUUCCGGAAAGUGAAAAAUUAUUGAAGACUCAAGAGUGGUUUCGGUUCCGGCUCCGGUUUAACAGUCUGAUGGACGAUAGGUCGUGGAUUCCGAGUCUUCAAAGCAAAGCAAAAUGGCUUGGCGCGUUGCGAACUCCAUACCAGCUGUUGUUGGAUUCGUACUGUGGUCUGCAAAGAGACAUAAUUAUGAUUGAAUUGCACUGUAACUUGUAUUGUUUGAAAUGUAUUCUAACAACCACGUAACACUUUGGUUCAAAACGGAAGGCUCUUUGCAGUAACCGGAGGUAGCAUCAUUGCCAUGCCAGCAGGGGUUGCUCCCGGAAAUUAUCUUUUACUGAGUCUAGAAACUCAGCAUCGGUCUGCUGAUAUGUUUCACUUAGCCAAUUUGGUAUCCGUCAAAACUUUGGAUGCUUCGUGAGAUUUUCAAAUACGUGAUCCUUCAAAUACUCAGCAGCACGAGAACCGCCAUGACCGUCAAAUAUUCCAAAUA
Molecule: long non-coding RNA, 909 nt
Organism: Lathyrus oleraceus (garden pea)
Lineage: Eukaryota; Viridiplantae; Streptophyta; Magnoliopsida; Fabales; Fabaceae
Exons: 5
Source: RefSeq, a predicted model, not a curated record